RNAcentral lists this ribosomal RNA (253 nucleotides) under uncultured bacterium. RNAcentral describes it as "partial 16S ribosomal RNA". It matches the Rfam family "Bacterial small subunit ribosomal RNA", at positions 524 to 776 of the family's 1533-position model. The record is from RNAcentral.
UACGGAGGGGGCUAGCGUUGUUCGGAAUUACUGGGCGUAAAGCGUGCGCAGGCGGUUUUGUAAGCCAGGUGUGAAAUCCCCGGGCUCAACCUGGGAAUGGCAUUUGGGACUGCAAGGCUGGAGUGCGGCAGAGGAGACUGGAAUUCCUGGUGUAGCAGUGAAAUGCGUAGAUAUCAGGAGGAACACCGAUGGCGAAGGCAGGUCUCUGGGCUGACACUGACGCUCAUGCACGAAAGCGUGGGGAGCAAACAGG